CUUGGUCAUUUAGAGGAAGUAAAAGUCGUAACAAGGUCUCCGUUGGUGAACCAGCGGAGGGAUCAUUACCGAGUUUACAACUCCCAAACCCCCUGUGAACCUAUACCAUUACUGUUGCUUCGGCGGGUCAUUGCCCCGGGGAAAGGACGAGGUGCCGCCUAGGCUCCCCGGCCCGCCCCCGGAAACAGGCGCCUGCCGGGGGAAUCAAACUCUUCUGUAUUUUUUACUUUUACUGUUAUACUGUCUGAGUACAAAACUAUAAAUGAAUCAAAACUUUCAACAACGGAUCUCUUGGUUCUGGCAUCGAUGAAGAACGCAGCGAAAUGCGAUAAGUAAUGUGAAUUGCAGAAUUCAGUGAAUCAUCGAAUCUUUGAACGCACAUUGCGCCCGCCAGUAUUCUGGCGGGCAUGCCUGUUCGAGCGUCAUUACAACCCUCAAGUCCCCUGUGGACUUGGUGUUGGGGACCGGCGACACGCAGCUGUGUUUUUCUCACAGUUGGUUCGCCGCCCCCUAAAUGACUUGACGGCCCCGUCUUAGGCUACCCCUCUGCGUAGUAGAACACACCUCGCAACAGGAAGCCCGGCGAAUGGCCACUGCCGUAAAACCCCCCAACUUCUUUCAGAGUUGACCUCGAAUCAGGUAGGAAUACCCGCUGAACUUAAGCAUAUCAAUAAGCGGAGGA
RNAcentral lists this ribosomal RNA (682 nucleotides) under uncultured Paecilomyces. RNAcentral's name for it is "eukaryotic LSU rRNA". The stretch from base 272 to 425 matches the Rfam family "5.8S ribosomal RNA". The record is from RNAcentral. Lineage: Eukaryota; Fungi; Ascomycota; Eurotiomycetes; Eurotiales; Thermoascaceae.